RNAcentral lists this unclassified non-coding RNA (396 nucleotides) under uncultured Eurotiomycetes. Its description in RNAcentral is "sequence contains ITS2". The stretch from base 1 to 154 matches the Rfam family "5.8S ribosomal RNA". The record is from RNAcentral. Lineage: Eukaryota; Fungi; Ascomycota; Eurotiomycetes.
AACUUUUAGCAACGGAUCACUUGGUUCCAGCAUCGAUGAAGAACGCAGCGAAAUGCGAUAAGUAAUGUGAAUUGCAGAAUUCCGUGAAUCAUCGAAUCUUUGAACGCACAUUGCGCCCCCUGGUAUUCCGGGGGGCAUGCCUGUCCGAGCGUCAUUUCAACCCUCAAGCCCGGCUUGUGUGAUGGGCGCCCGUCCGCUACGCCCCCUUGUGGGGUCCGGUGGACGCGCCUGAAAGGCAGCGGCGGCGUUUUGGUCAUCCAAUCGCUCAAGUGCAUGGGGAUUUGUUUCACGCACGAGAGUGGGGGCCGGCGCCAGCCAACCACCACAUCUUUCUUAGGUUGACCUCGGAUCAGGUAGGGAUACCCGCUGAACUUAAGCAUAUCAAUAAGCGGAGGC